AAGCAGUCGCCACGGGAAUACGUAGGGUGCGAGCGUUAAUCGGAAUUACUGGGCGUAAAGCGUGCGCAGGCGGUUGUGUAAGACAGGUGUGAAAUCCCCGGGCUUAACCUGGGAACUGCGCUUGUGACUGCACAGCUAGAGUAUGGCAGAGAGGGGUGGAAUUCCACGUGUAGCAGUGAAAUGCGUAGAGAUGUGGAGGAACACCGAUGGCGAAGGCAGCCCCCUGGGCCAAUACUGACGCUCAUGCACGAAAGCGUGGGGAGCGAACAGGAUUAGAUACCCGAGUAGUCCCUGUCUCUUAUAC
This 304-nucleotide ribosomal RNA is filed under the name uncultured bacterium. RNAcentral's name for it is "partial 16S ribosomal RNA". It matches the Rfam family "Bacterial small subunit ribosomal RNA", at positions 506 to 807 of the family's 1533-position model. The record is from RNAcentral.